Molecule: ribosomal RNA, 253 nt
Filed under: uncultured bacterium
Lineage: Bacteria
Description: partial 16S ribosomal RNA
Rfam family: Bacterial small subunit ribosomal RNA
Source: RNAcentral
UACAGAGACUGCAAGCGUUAUUCGGAUUCACUGGGCGUAAAGGGUGCGCAGGCGGUUUGUUAAGUCUGCUGUGAAAUCCCCGAGCUCAACUUGGGAAUUGCAGUGGAUACUGGCAGGCUGGAGUAUGGUAGAGGAAGGUGGAAUUCCCGGUGUAGCAGUGAAAUGCGUAGAGAUCGGGAGGAACACCAGUGGCGAAGGCGGCCUUCUGGACCAAUACUGACGCUCAUGCGCGAAAGCGUGGGGAGCAAACAGG